RNAcentral lists this ribosomal RNA (795 nucleotides) under uncultured bacterium. RNAcentral's name for it is "bacterial SSU rRNA". It matches the Rfam family "Bacterial small subunit ribosomal RNA", at positions 8 to 796 of the family's 1533-position model. The record is from RNAcentral.
AGAGUUUGAUCAUGGCUCAGGAUGAACGCUAGCGGCAGGCUUAAUACAUGCAAGUCGUGGGGCAGCAUGGUGUAGCAAUACACUGAUGGCGACCGGCAAACGGGUGCGGAACACGUACGCAACCUUCCUUUAACUGGAGAAUAGCCCGGGGAAACCCGGAUUAAUACUCCGUAACAUUAUGAAGUGGCAUCACUUUAUAAUUAUAGCUCCGGCGGUUGAAGAUGGGCGUGCGUCUGAUUAGGUAGUUGGCGGGGUAACGGCCCACCAAGCCUACGAUCAGUAACUGGUGUGAGAGCACGACCAGUCACACGGGCACUGGGACACGGGCCCGACUCCUACGGGAGGCAGCAGUAAGGAAUAUUGGUCAAUGGACGCAAGUCUGAACCAGCCAUGCCGCGUGAAGGAUGAAGGUCCUCUGGAUUGUAAACUUCUUUUAUUUGGGAAGAAACCCAUGAUUUCUAUCGUGGUUGACGGUACCAGAUGAAUAAGCACCGGCUAACUCCGUGCCAGCAGCCGCGGUAAUACGGAGGGUGCAAGCGUUAUCCGGAUUCACUGGGUUUAAAGGGUGCGUAGGCGGGUUGGUAAGUCCGUGGUGAAAUCUCCAAGCUUAACUUGGAAACUGCCGUGGAUACUAUCAAUCUUGAAUAUAGUGGAGGUGAGCGGAAUAUGUCAUGUAGCGGUGAAAUGCUUAGAUAUGACAUAGAACACCCAUUGCGAAGGCAGCUCGCUACACUAUUAUUGACGCUGAGGCACGAAAGCGUGGGGAUCAAACAGGAUUAGAUACCCCCGUAGUCC